This 1143-nucleotide ribosomal RNA is filed under the name Triticum aestivum (bread wheat). RNAcentral's name for it is "partial small subunit ribosomal RNA". The record is from RNAcentral. Lineage: Eukaryota; Viridiplantae; Streptophyta; Magnoliopsida; Poales; Poaceae.
AUGAUGAAGCUGGCCAAGGUCCUUCACCGCAAGGGCUUCCAUAUCACCUUCGUCAACACGGAGUAUAACCAACGCCGCCUCAUCCGUUCCCGCGGCCCUGACGCCAUAGCCGGCCUCCCGGACUUCUGCUUCGCCACCAUUCUGGACGACAUGCCCUUGUCUGACGCUGAUGCCACGCAAGACCCAGCAUCGCUUUGCUAUUCCACCAUGACCACCUGCCUCCCCCACCUGAAGUACCUGCUCCACGACCUCAACAACAAAUCAGCGACGCCGCUGGUAAGGUGUGUCGUGACGGACGGCCUCAUGAGCCUUAGUGUUGAUGCUGCUGCGGAUAUCGGCGUUCCCUGCGUGUUGUUCUGGACUUCCAGUGCCUGCGGUUACAUGGGCUACCACAGCUUUUGGUUCCUCAUAGAUGAGGGUCUUACUCCUCUCAAAGACGAAGAGCAAGUAAAGAACGGGUACUUGGACACGCCGGUGGCACAGGCACGUGGGAUGAGCAAGCACAUGCAUCUCCGAGACUUCUCAUCCUUCAUCCGCACGACGGACCCUGGCGACGUGAUGUUCAACUUCCUCAAGCAUGAGGUCGAGCAGUCGGACCGUGCGGCCGCGGUCAUCCUCAACACCUUUGACGAGCUUGAGCAGACGGCUCUGGACGCCAUGUGUUCCAUCCUCCCUCUGCCCAUCUACAUCAUCAGCCCACUUAACUUCCUCACUGAGCAGCUGGCGACCAAGGGCAGGUGCCUUCUUGCGAGCUGGUGCGAGCAGGAGGCGGUGUUGCGGCACGAGGCAGUGGGCGCCUUCUUGACACACUGCGGGUGGAACUCGAUGAUGGAGGGCAUUAGUGUCGGGGUGCCAAUGCUGUGUUGGCCCUUCUUCGCUGAGCAGCAAACCAAUUCCCGCUACGCGUGUGUGGAGUGGGGCGUUGGGAUGGAAGUUGGCGAUGACGUGCGCCGGGAGGCGGUCGAGGCGAGGAUAAGGGAGGUGAUGGGAGGAGAAGGGGUGGGGAAAGAAAUGAGGCGGAAGGCGGCGGAGUGGAGCGAGAUAGCCGUUCGUGCGACAACACAACCUGGUGGCAGGUCGUUGGCCAACCUCGAGAGUCUGUUCAAGGAUGUACUACUGAUCGCCACUGAGAAUGCUGAGUAG